This 447-nucleotide ribosomal RNA is filed under the name uncultured bacterium. Its description in RNAcentral is "bacterial SSU rRNA". It matches the Rfam family "Bacterial small subunit ribosomal RNA", at positions 328 to 793 of the family's 1533-position model. The record is from RNAcentral.
CGUCCAGACUCCUACGGGAGGCAGCAGUAAGGGAUAUUGGUCAAUGGGGGAAACCCUGAACCAGCAACGCCGCGUGAGGGAAGACGGUUUUCGGAUUGUAAACCUCUGUCCUCUGUGAAGAUGAUGACGGUAGCAGAGGAGGAAGCUCCGGCUAACUACGUGCCAGCAGCCGCGGUAAUACGUAGGGAGCGAGCGUUGUCCGGAAUUACUGGGUGUAAAGGGAGCGUAGGCGGGACUGCAAGUUGGGUGUCAAAUCGAGCGGCUCAACCGGUAGCCGCACUCAAAACUGCAGUUCUUGAGUGAAGGAGAGGCAGGCGGAAUUCCUGGUGUAGCGGUGAAAUGCGUAAAUAUUAGGAGGAACACCAGUGGCGAAGGCGGCCUGCUGGGCUUUAACUGACGCUGAGGCUCGAAAGCGUGGGUAGCAAACAGGAUUAGAUACCCGAGUAA